GCGGCGUGCAUAAUACAUGCAAGUCGAGCGAACAGAUGAGAAGCUUGCUUCUCUGAUGUUAGCGGCGGACGGGUGAGUAACACGUGGGUAACCUACCUAUAAGACUGGGAUAACUCCGGGAAACCGGGGCUAAUACCGGAUAAUAUUUUGAACCGCAUGGUUCAAUAGUGAAAGACGGUUUCGGCUGUCACUUAUAGAUGGACCCGCGCCGUAUUAGCUAGUUGGUAAGGUAACGGCUUACCAAGGCGACGAUACGUAGCCGACCUGAGAGGGUGAUCGGCCACACUGGAACUGAGACACGGUCCAGACUCCUACGGGAGGCAGCAGUAGGGAAUCUUCCGCAAUGGGGCGAGAAGCCUGACGGAGCAACGCCGCGGUGAGUGAUGGAAGGUCUUCGGAAUCGGAAAACUCCUGUUGUUAGGGAAAGAACAAAAUUUGUUAGUAACUGACAAGUCUUGACGGUCCUAACCUGAAAGCACGCCUACUACUGCCCACAGCGGGGUA
Molecule: ribosomal RNA, 504 nt
Filed under: Mammaliicoccus sciuri
Lineage: Bacteria; Bacillati; Bacillota; Bacilli; Caryophanales; Staphylococcaceae
Description: bacterial SSU rRNA
Rfam family: Bacterial small subunit ribosomal RNA
Source: RNAcentral